CCUUGCCCUACGGGGGGCAGCAGUGAGGAAUAUUGGUCAAUGGUCGGGAGACUGAACCAGCCCAGCCGCGUGAGGGAUGAAGGUACAGAGUAUCGUAAACCUCUUUUGUCAGGGAACAAAGGCGGGGACGUGUCCCCGGAUGAGUGUACCUGAAGAAAAAGCAUCGGCUAACUCCGUGCCAGCAGCCGCGGUAAUACGGAGGAUGCGAGCGUUAUCCGGAUUUAUUGGGUUUAAAGGGUGCGCAGGCGGUCUGUUAAGUCAGCGGUCAAAGCCCGGGGCUCAACCCCGCCCAGCCGUCGGAACUG
RNAcentral lists this ribosomal RNA (305 nucleotides) under uncultured bacterium. RNAcentral describes it as "bacterial SSU rRNA". It matches the Rfam family "Bacterial small subunit ribosomal RNA", at positions 332 to 635 of the family's 1533-position model. The record is from RNAcentral.